This is a long non-coding RNA of Aethalodelphis obliquidens (Pacific white-sided dolphin), 805 nucleotides long. RefSeq lists it as uncharacterized. The transcript is spliced from 3 exons. The record is from RefSeq and is a predicted model, not a curated record. NCBI's taxonomy places the organism in Eukaryota, Metazoa, Chordata, Mammalia, Artiodactyla, Delphinidae.
CUGCCCAUAAGACAAAUUAUUUUGAAGGAAAGGAGUUGGUCUUUUCGUCUUUACAACCCAAGCCCCUGGCACAGUGCCUGCUCAGGAUGUUUUGACUCUACUCUUUGGACCCCACAGUAAAGAGAUGAGUGCUGGGGUGACGGUGACAAAAAACGAGGUAGAAGAGUGCUGCAAGUGCUGAAGAACUAACUGACAAACUGUUUAAAGGAGUUCCCUUGCUAAGGGAAGAUAUCAGAAAGGAAAAGAGCCAAAUGGAAAACAAAGCACUAUUUGUAUUAAGCAUUACCUUGUCUACCACACGAUGGUAAAAAUUGCCUUGGAAAAUGUGGCUGAAGCUGAGGAUGUUCAGCGAGGCUUCCAGCUUCUUCCCCCUGAGUCUGUCCAAACAGUCUUCUCAGGUGGAGAGUCUGGAAUGGAAGAUGGAGGAGGGAAGCCAGGCCUGACUCAAGGGCAUGAGCCCUGCCAGGUGGGAAACAUCCAGUAUCAUCUGAGAAGCUAGACCCACUUAUGGAACCAACUAGUUGGAAGAAAGGAAGCAGAAGUGAAGAAGACAAACAUUGAUCCUGACCAUGAAAUGUGACCCUCUUAGAACCUCACUGUCUAACAUGGGAGCCACUAGCCACAUGUGGCCACUGAAUGCUUGAAAACAUGGCAAGUGUGAAGUGAGAUCUCUCGUUAAGUGUAUAAUACAAACUUGAUUUUGAAGACAGUACAAAAGAAUGUAAAGUACCUUAUUAAUAUUUUGUAUAUUGCUUAUUUGUUUAAAUGAUAAUAUUUUAGAUAUAUUGGGUAAAAUAAAAUAUAU